GGGGUCGGAACUUCGGUUCCGGCUUACGUGGCGCACGGGUGAGUAACACGUGGGAAUCUGCCCAUCUAUGGGGAAUAACUGCGGGAAACUGCAGCUAAUACCGCAUACGCCCUUCGGGGGAAAGGCUUCGGCCGUAGAUGGAUGAGCCCGCGUCCGAUUAGCUAGUUGGUGGGGUAAAAGCCUACCAAGGCGACGAUCGGUAGCUGGUCUGAGAGGAUGAUCAGCCACACUGGGACUGAGACACGGCCCAGACUCCUACGGGAGGCAGCAGUGGGGAAUAUUGGACAAUGGGCGAAAGCCUGAUCCAGCAAUGCCGCGUGAGUGAUGAAGGUCUUCGGAUUGUAAAGCUCUUUCGACGGGGAAGAUAAUGACGGUACCCGUAGAAGAAGCCCCGGCUAACUUCGUGCCAGCAGCCGCGGUAAUACGAAGGGGGCUAGCGUUGUUCGGAUUUACUGGGCGUAAAGCGUGCGUAGGCGGCUUGUCAAGUCAGAAGUGAAAGCCCGGGGCUCAACUCCGGAACUGCUUUUGAGACUGGCAGGCUUGAGUUCGGGAGAGGGUAGUGGAAUUCCCAGUGUAGAGGUGAAAUUCGUAGAUAUUGGGAAGAACACCG
RNAcentral lists this ribosomal RNA (610 nucleotides) under uncultured bacterium. RNAcentral describes it as "bacterial SSU rRNA". It matches the Rfam family "Bacterial small subunit ribosomal RNA", at positions 68 to 711 of the family's 1533-position model. The record is from RNAcentral.